GACGAACGCUGGCGGCGUGCUUAACACAUGCAAGUCGAGCGAUGAAACUUCUUCGGAAGUGGAUUAGCGGCGGACGGGUGAGUAACACGUGGGCAACCUGCCUCAUAGUGGGGAAUAGCCUCUCGAAAGGGAGAUUAAUACCGCAUAAGAUUGUAGUUCCGCAUGGAACAGCAAUUAAAGGAUUUAUUCGUUAUGAGAUGGGCCCGCGGCUCAUUAGCAAGUUGGUGAGGUAACGGCUCACCAAGGCGACGAUGCGUAGCCGACCUGAGAGGGUGUACGGCCACAUUGGGACUGAAACACGGCCCAGACUCCUACGGGAGGCAGCAAUGGUGAAUAUUGCACGAUGGGGGAAACCCUGAUGCAGCAACGCCACGUGAGUGAUGACGGUCUUCGGAUUGUAAAGCUCUGUCUUUAGGGACGAUAAUGACGGUACCUAAGGAGGAAGCCACGGCUAACUACGUGCCAGCCGCCGCGGUAA
RNAcentral lists this ribosomal RNA (478 nucleotides) under uncultured bacterium. RNAcentral describes it as "partial 16S ribosomal RNA". It matches the Rfam family "Bacterial small subunit ribosomal RNA", at positions 28 to 523 of the family's 1533-position model. The record is from RNAcentral.